UACGGGGGGGGCAAGCGUUGUUCGGAAUUACUGGGCGUAAAGGGCUCGUAGGUGGCCAACUAAGUCAGACGUGAAAUCCCUCAGCUUAACUGGGGAACUGCGUCUGAUACUGGAUGGCUUGAGUUUGGGAGAGGGAUGCGGAAUUCCAGGUGUAGCGGUGAAAUGCGUAGAUAUCAGGAAGAACACCCGUGGCGAAAGCGGCUCUCUGGAACGGUACUGACGCUGAGACGCGAAAGCGUGGGGAGCGAACAGG
Molecule: ribosomal RNA, 253 nt
Filed under: uncultured bacterium
Lineage: Bacteria
Description: partial 16S ribosomal RNA
Rfam family: Bacterial small subunit ribosomal RNA
Source: RNAcentral